GUCAAAUUUAAAAAUUUAUGCUGAAAUCAUGUCUCCUAAGUUCUUACAUUAGUGGUCUCCUAAAUACUGUACUCUCCUUCUUGUGGGGUGUUUUGGAAAGGCUUAAUUCUUAGAGCCUAAUUCUUAAUUCUUCAAAAGAGUUGGAAAUGUUCAAUUCUGUUGAGCGAUUCUAUAUAUAUGUUUGUGUACAAGUUCACUCAUUCACAGCCGUCAAAAGACAUUUGCUGACAAAAUUGUUUGUCUAAUCUAAUCUAAUCUAAACUAAGGUUUUGGUGGUAGAAUCUCACUUGCAUAAACAUACACAAUCCAUCAAACAGAAUACCAGCACAUGUAGUGUC
This is a non-coding RNA of Paramuricea clavata, 338 nucleotides long. Lineage: Eukaryota; Metazoa; Cnidaria; Anthozoa; Malacalcyonacea; Plexauridae. The record is from the annotation of a GenBank genome assembly.